AAUAGAGGCGCAAGCCUGAACCAGCCAUGCCGCGUGCAGGAAGACGGUCCUAUGGAUUGUAAACUGCUUUUAUUUGGGAAUAAACCUAUUUACGUGUAGAUAGCUGAAGGUACCAAAUGAAUAAGCACCGGCUAACUCCGUGCCAGCAGCCGCGGUAAUACGG
Molecule: ribosomal RNA, 163 nt
Filed under: uncultured bacterium
Lineage: Bacteria
Description: partial 16S ribosomal RNA
Rfam family: Bacterial small subunit ribosomal RNA
Source: RNAcentral